UUGCAUACUUCGGCAGCACAUGUACUAAAAUUGGAAUGAUACAGCAAAGAUUAGCAUGGUCUCUGCACAAGGACGACACACCAAUUGGUGAAGUGGACUGUACUUUA
This is a small nuclear RNA of Capra hircus (goat), 107 nucleotides long. NCBI's taxonomy places the organism in Eukaryota, Metazoa, Chordata, Mammalia, Artiodactyla, Bovidae. The record is from Ensembl.